UACGUAGGGUGCGAGCGUUAAUCGGAAUUACUGGGCGUAAAGCGUGCGCAGGCGGCUUUGCAAGACAGAUGUGAAAUCCCCGGGCUCAACCUGGGAACUGCAUUUGUGACUGCAAGGCUAGAGUACGGCAGAGGGGGAUGGAAUUCCGCGUGUAGCAGUGAAAUGCGUAGAUAUGCGGAGGAACACCAAUGGCGAAGGCAAUCCCCUGGGCCUGUACUGACGCUCAUGCAUGAAAGCGUGGGGAGCAAACAGG
This 253-nucleotide ribosomal RNA is filed under the name uncultured bacterium. Its description in RNAcentral is "partial 16S ribosomal RNA". It matches the Rfam family "Bacterial small subunit ribosomal RNA", at positions 524 to 776 of the family's 1533-position model. The record is from RNAcentral.